CGCCGCGGGCUCUGCCCGCUCGCCUGCUCGCCUAGUGGGGGAGAGGGGAGCGGGGCCGACACAGGACUGCAGUUGACAGCAGAUAACUGAAAGCUUGGAAAGUGAAACCGUGGAUAAGCAGGGGAACUGUGGCAUCCCAUUUAAAAUUGCUUCUGAAGAGAAGCAUGAGGUUACAUCUGUAAUCUCCCUGCAGCAGAGUCAACUGCAUAAGAAACCAAAAGACACAUCUGCUCCAUGCCAGCUUCGAUAAUUUCUUUGUACCUUCGGCGAAAGAAGCCCAUCUGAAAGGCAGAAAGAAAGAGGAGAAGCUGAGUUAGAAGUGCUGAAGAAUCAGCCAUUGUGACCCCAAGGCAGCCUGUCCCUGGGUAGGUGUGACCUGCACUCACAGGGCUGGGGAGGCUUGGAGGACCCCUCAGAUUAGAGAAAACACUGGCAAGAAAAACAUCCUGUGGAGACAUUUUUCAAAAUGCAUGGACUUCCUGCGGGUGAUAUUAGGUAAGCUGUUUGUUCCUUGUAAAAUGCAUCUGGUGUAGUGUUUUCCAGACUGUGUGCUGGGGAAUACUAAUUACUGAGAGCUGUUCAAAGGUGUUUGGGAGUAAAAAAAGGUUUCAUGGCUGGGCACAGUGGCUCAUGCCUGUAAUCCCAGCACUUUGGGAGGGAGGCUGAGACAGGCAGAUCACUUGAGGUCAGGAGUUUGAGAGCAGCCUGGCCAACAUGGUGAAAUCCUGUCUCUACUAAAAACACAAAAAUUAGCUGGGCAUGGUGGUGUGUGCCUGUAAUCCCAGCUACUUGGGAGGCUGAGGCACGAGAAUCGCUUGAACCUGGGAGGCGGAGGUUGCAGUGAGCUGAGAUCGUGCCACCACUGCACUCCAGCCUGGGCGACAGAGUGAGACUCCAUCUCA
RNAcentral lists this non-coding RNA (902 nucleotides) under Pongo abelii (Sumatran orangutan). Lineage: Eukaryota; Metazoa; Chordata; Mammalia; Primates; Hominidae. The record is from RNAcentral.